CUUCAGGGGCAAUUUAGUCAUUUUCAUACGUGGGUCCCACAUGUCAUAGCUCAUUCUGUAACAGAAGGUGGAUGGAAUGGCACACGGAUAAAUGAAAUUUUGUGUCAUGGCAUACAGGUGACUCAAAACUUUUUUUUGUGGCACACGCGUAACCUCCAACUUUCUUAAUGGCAUAUGGGUAAAAGACUCCUGCUCCUUCGCUUCGCUUCUGUUCGUCUCUCCGCCGUGCGCCGUCCGUCGUCCGCCAUGGAGGUUGCUGGCCCUCCUCCGUUGACCAGCGCUUCCCCUAGCCCCUGCCGCUCAACACCAACUGUGGCCGGAUCUAGUUGUUUGGCGGCUCGCGAGAAAGAAGUUUUGGUGGUCUAGAUCUGGUCAGUUCAUCCUCCCUUUCGAGCUGAUCUCUCACCACCGAGCCUUUUCCCCACAUCCCUUCUCGUCGUUCGGUUUGAGGUGGUCAGAUCUACCGGCGGCAAAGCUGCUGGAUGCCCUCACUUCGUGUGGCUGUGAGAUCAUCGGGGUUAGAACUGCCAGAAUCGCUUGGACUCGAGGAAGAAGGAGAGCGAGCAAGACGAGGGAUGCAAAUGGGCGACGACCUGGGUGUGGAGCGGUGACCCCAGCUAUCGGAUGCAGCAGUUUGCACGCGCGGGUGCAACACGGAGCACGCGCUCAGCCUGGCUGAGUAGCGAAGUUUGCCCGAAUCGGGCGUUCCUCCGGAGCCUGGCUGGCGACCGCUUUUUGCACGCGCUGGGCCUGGCUGGGAGGUCCAUGCAAGCAACCAACAAGGUAAAUUUGUAUGCAUAGGUGCGGGCCAAGCCUGAUGCAGGCAACCAAACAGACCCUCAGUCCAUCUGCACAUUGAAAAUGCUCAAGGUCCAAGAGAUGUGAUAGUAUAUCAGAUGGCAUGCCAUUGACUUGUGUGCCAGAAGAUUCUAUGAAGUAAAAAACUAAAAUGCUUGAUUUUUCUUUGCUCUCUAUGGUUUAUAUUCAAAUUUUUCUCUACUGAUAGAUUAAUAUCACUUUUGAACAGCUCUACUAAACAAUUAAUUUAAUUUGUGUGAAUUUUAUGUUGGUGUCAAAAUUUGGCACUUUAAGACCUUGGCAUAGCAAUUUCAUUCUUUGUAUCCCCUGCUCUAAGUUGGUAUCAUUUCAGUUUACUUGCUUUAUAAUUACUAAACUUGAAGGUCGACAUGCACUUCACUGGGAAAUUUUAAGUGAAACCCUGAAUCCCUCAAAUCUCCUAUUGAACUUUAUCAUGAAUUGCUAAAGUUGCUGAUUUUCUUGAGUAGGAACCAAGCUAUUCACUUAAAAUUCAUGUACUAGCCUCUCAAAAUUUGUAUGAAUAUUGGGGUUUUAUUUUAAGAGCAAAUUAGAUCAGAGUUCAGAGUCUACUCAUGCUGCUUGCUGUUGGGUAUACCUCCCAGGGAAGGGAUGCUCUUAUCCAUCUUCCAGGAAAUUGGUGGUAGCUGAUUUCAAAUGCGAAAUUAGUUAUUAUUGUUUCUGUUCUAAUAGAAAUUGAUUUCACCGAGUCAAUAACUUGCCAUAUUUAUUUAUUUACUCUUAAAUUCCAUUCUUAUGAAUGAUUUGACAAACAAUUUUUUCCUUGUCACAGAACAAGCAUGUAAACGUGUUUGUUUACACAAUACAUGAAACAAUAUGUAGAAUCAUACUUUACACUGCCAUUUUCUCCAAAGAGGCUGUGAUAAGCACUUCUGCAUCCACUUGAACUCAUAUAUACUUGUGUGCCCUUUAAUUUUGUAGGAUAAUUAUAUGAAAGAAGCCCCUCUAUAUCUGGAGUUAGGGAGCACAUUUUUACUAGCAGAAAUGGUGAACAUGGAGUAGUGCCAUAUUAUGUCAAGAGUUAUCUUAAUCUAACAGAGGAUACACCGUCAACUAUAUCUUUCUCCAUCGCACUCUCUAAAAUAUAUAUUUAUCAGGAAGAUGUUUGUAGAACUUAUUGAUUUGGGUAAUAUUUAUUCGUCGAUGUCAACCAUUUCUUGUCCACAAUGAAUGGUUGAUCGUAUUCAAGAUGACAAAGCCAUAUUUAUGCUUCAUAGUUUGAGACUACUAUAUGCAGGAAAAAACAAAGCAAUCUGAACGCAACACAGAUUCAACAGGAUGAUCCAAUGACAACAGUGAACACUAUGGGUUAAGGUGGUGCGCCAAGCCGCCAAGGGCGCGCGCCCCAGAUCCUAGUAUCCUUCAACUUCAAGAUGAAAGACGUAAAUGAACCCAUGUAUGAACAUGCCUACAUCUAAUAGGCAUCCAACUAUGCAAGGAAAGCCUAUUUAGCCUCCAUUAACUCUUGCUUUUGAUUGAAUAGUAUCUCUCAACUCCAAAACGGGGUAUAACGUCUACCCAUCUUUAAAAACCAGUGCAAAUCGUCUUCUUCGGUGCCUUCAAAAGUAGUUUUCUGCUGACAUGGCAGGUUGACUGUGGUUGAGUCAUGUUUCAUGUAGGACCCAGCGAGUCCUCACUUAUCUUCUUCCUCAACUCUCUUUGACGAUGGCGUGCCUCCUCUCCACAUCGCGGAAAACGGCUGCCUGCUACGUCACGUACUCGCGUGGCUCAUGCGGUGGGGAGGGCAUCGACGGCCGCCUGUGGCUGUGCCCUGCGACCGGCGCGGCCGAGUGAUUUCCUAUCACUCCAGCUGUCCCGCGUGUCCCCGCACCUUCCGCGAAGCUUCCUCUCCUGCCUGCGCGUUGACGGGUUUCCAACUUUCCAAGUAGUACAACAAAUUUGGGGCUACUCCUAUAAAAGAUGGGAGUAAACGCCGCGUACGACGCAUCUAAAUCAAGGGAGUUUCCUCGAUUACGUCAAAAAGAGGUUUCGAGAGUUUCCUCGAAGCACACCCGACGCCGGCGCCGGCGGCGAGGUGUCAGUCGAUCGUGGGUUCCGGCUGUAGAGCAUCUUCCUUCUGCUGUGGCGAUCGUCGAGCGAUCGAGCGAUCUUCUGUUCAAUCUCAUCUCCUUCGGCGAUCCGAUCCGGCAUAGCUCCCCGCCUCCUCUCUUCUCCUCUUCUUGUUUCUGCUCAUGGGAAGUGAAUCCCUCCUCGGGUCGGCUUCUCUGAACGCGACUGUGAAUCAAUUGAACCAACAAACUAAAUACUUACAGUAUAUGUGUCCUCCUGAUCUGGGCUUCUAACAGCCGCAGAUGCUGCUGCACUGACUGAGAAUAAUGAUUACUAGCCUGGAAGACGAUAAAGCAACUGGCCAGGCCUGCUGCUGCUCUUCGACAUGCCUAGAACCACAAUUGCAUCCGAAAUUUUCAGGUUACAAGAAAUUUUCUUUCUUUGCCGAUAUAAUCUGUCCAAAAGGAGUGGUUAGUCCUUCCAAGGUUAUCUUCCCCGGAGAAAAUUAAAGCUCGGAUUGCUCACGUAAUCCGCCCACAUAGGCGCCAUUUACUGCAGCACGGAUGCUUCUUCAGUCUUCACUUCACAUCCGCAGCCUUGCAUCCUGAAGGUAUGCUCCCCUGUCUCACAUUGUCACAUUUGAAUGUGCUUUUCUAUGAUUAUAUUGUGUUUCUAUAUAAUAUUAUAGUAUAUGAAAAAUAUAAAAGUAAAAAACUAUUCAUGUCAAGUUUAGGAAGCAAUUAUUAUUAUGUGUGAAAGGGAAAGACGAAUUGAAGAGAUUCUGAACUAAUCCACGCGUGCAACUUGGGGUUAA
Molecule: non-coding RNA, 3661 nt
Organism: Oryza sativa Japonica Group (Japanese rice)
Lineage: Eukaryota; Viridiplantae; Streptophyta; Magnoliopsida; Poales; Poaceae
Source: RefSeq, a predicted model, not a curated record